Long non-coding RNA from Myodes glareolus (Bank vole), 1929 nucleotides. RefSeq lists it as uncharacterized. The record is from RefSeq and is a predicted model, not a curated record. Lineage: Eukaryota; Metazoa; Chordata; Mammalia; Rodentia; Cricetidae.
GUGGCUGCCGCCCCGGAAGCCCCCUUUGCCCUGCGGCCAAAGACGGUACGGGUCCUGCACAUACCCGCAUCUUCAAGUUGUCAGGCAGCUCCAGGUACCAGGUGCAAGAAUACAGAGACCCUUAACUUUUCAAAAAAAAAAUGCAAAAGCGCUACGUUCAACUCCGAACCGAGCGAAUGACUUCCUACAUUUGAUCUUAGCCAAAAAGCCAAGAAUCGAGGAAGCCUUCAGCCUUCAUGCUGCCUCUCAGCAUUCUGGUUCUGAGAAGAGAGACCAAGUCAGCUUCAGGUAAAGAACGGGGAAAGCACACAUUUUUGCUGAGAGCUGGACAAGGUAGCUACAGCUACUGAAUGUUCAAGAUUGCGAAUGCCAAGUCGAAGUCUCGCUGACCUUAAUAACUACCCAGCCCAGCACUUUCCACAAAUGUUCUGAAACUCAUCUAUCGCAAUAACCCCGAAGGAAUACACUCCAGUUCCACGAGGUUUCGCUCCCUCCUAACCCCUCCCUGAGGAAUCACACUCCUUAACAGUCCUAGGCCUUCCGGCAGGAAAGCCAACCCCUUCGGCCCCGCCCUACGGAGCCCUUGCACUUACCCUCCUUGUGGCGCAGGCGCAAUGUAGUACCCGCCUUUCGUACCAACGCUGACAAGUCCGCUGCAGCUCUGGCCGCCAGGGGGCGCGCGUCCAGACGCUCCAGGAGCUGCCGAGCGCGGGGGCCCCCGGACCCAGGUAGGCCACCUCCUGACCGGAGAAGUAGACAAAUCAUCAUGGUCCCAGAGCCGUGGAACCCCGACCUGAGUGAUUCCUAAGUCCAAAGACCUAGAAAUGUCCCCCCGGAUAUAUGGAAAUCCCCGUCCACUCCAGUAGUUCCAGCGAUUGACGCCAGUCCCCUCCUCUCCUAUGACCCCCGACUGCUACAACUGUACGCGCUGCCGGCUGUCUUGCCCCAUAAAGUCCCUGCAGAUAACCUUUUGAUAGCAAUAGACCUGGAUACCUUGGAGCAAUCAACACAUUUCUUUGGAGCUCACCAUACUAUCCCUUAGUAACACUAGAUGCCAAACUUCUUUGGCGUGACUCUGGGGACCCUGCUUCUCCCACAUAAGCCCCUCCCCGCGAGCAACUCUGAAGGCCCCAAUUUCACCUCCAGUAUACUAGGCAAUCCCUCCUACACCUAAGAGUUCCAUAGAAGGCCCAGUGUCUCCUCAGGGCGCAAGCAUCUCCAGAUACCCUGUCUACAGAUCCCCAGCCCACCCUCCUAACCCCCUACAGACUGCCUGCCCUGACUCAGCAGGUGCCUCCAGGUUUCUGUUCCCAGACUCCUGAGCUAGGUCUCUGGAGUCUGAUGUGUCCCUCCACCAUACACACACACCCCUGAGUCUGUAGGGUAGGAGACCUGAAACACAGUUCCCAUCGCUGGGCCCCUGGUUGCUGCCAGGACAGCCUGGGCAGCAAGGCUGGUGUUUACCACUUGUGGGGUGAAAUGGUUAGGAGCCGACAGGCAACGAGAGGGUGGCCUGGGACAGCUCCUUCCCUUUCUCUCUACUCCACCCACGCCAGUACCUCCUCUGCUCCCUCUAGGGUCUGCGGUGUUCCCAGCGCGGGAGUCCAUAGCCUGUGGUGCGCCUGGAGGACUGGGGCAGCCAGGUGAUUAGUUUUUAGCACAGGGGCGCGCUCAGUUGGCUCCUAGCCCAGGCCUGGACGUCGCUGUUGUCUGGCCAGUCCCAGGCCUGGCGCCCGGACUGUGAGGUGACCUACCUGGCCGCAGGCAAGGAGGCCUGGUUGAGGGAGCCUGUAAAGUCAGAGUUCAGCCUUUCUCUGCCCUAGGCGCUUCUGCUUUUCUUGACUGGAGACUGGUUAAAACUGAAAAGCCUGAGCGUACCAGUUGUUAAACAAGAUAUGCAGGAAAUGGAACUUAAAUAAACUGCUGGUA